This 497-nucleotide ribosomal RNA is filed under the name uncultured bacterium. RNAcentral's name for it is "partial 16S ribosomal RNA". It matches the Rfam family "Bacterial small subunit ribosomal RNA", at positions 30 to 523 of the family's 1533-position model. The record is from RNAcentral.
AUUGAACGCUGGCGGCAUGCCUUACACAUGCAAGUCGAACGGUAACAGGUCUUCGGAUGCUGACGAGUGGCGAACGGGUGAGUAAUACAUCGGAACGUGCCUAGUAGUGGGGAUAACUACUCGAAGGAGUGGCUAAUACCGCAUGAGAUAUACGGAUGAAAGCAGGGGAUCGCAAGACCUUGUGCUACUAGAGCGGCCGAUGGCAGAUUAGGUAGUUGGUGGGAUAAAAGCUUACCAAGCCGACGAUCUGUAGCUGGUCUGAGAGGACGAUCAGCCACACUGGGACUGAGACACGGCCCAGACUCCUACGGGAGGCAGCAGUGGGGAAUUUUGGACAAUGGGCGAAAGCCUGAUCCAGCAAUGCCGCGUGCAGGAUGAAGGCCUUCGGGUUGUAAACUGCUUUUGUACGGAACGAAAAGCCCCGGGUUAAUACCCUGGGGUCAUGACGGUACCGUAAGAAUAAGCACCGGCUAACUACGUGCCAGCCGCCGCGGUAA